RNAcentral lists this ribosomal RNA (253 nucleotides) under uncultured bacterium. RNAcentral describes it as "partial 16S ribosomal RNA". It matches the Rfam family "Bacterial small subunit ribosomal RNA", at positions 524 to 776 of the family's 1533-position model. The record is from RNAcentral.
UACGAAGGGGGCUAGCGUUGCUCGGAAUCACUGGGCGUAAAGCGCACGUAGGCGGAUCUUUAAGUCGGGGGUGAAAUCCUGGAGCUCAACUCCAGAACUGCCUUCGAUACUGGGAAUCUUGAGUCCGAGAGAGGUGAGUGGAACUCCGAGUGUAGAGGUGAAAUUCGUAGAUAUUCGGAAGAACACCAGUGGCGAAGGCGGCUCACUGGCUCGGUACUGACGCUGAGGUGCGAAAGCGUGGGGAGCAAACAGG